AAAUUUACGGAUCUUGAUUUCGAGUUUUAUAACUCGAGAUAUGAUUUUUCUUGUAACUGUGAUGCGAGUAGCUAGAAAGCUGUGAAUGUAGAAACAAAUGAUUUGAAGUUCUUAAAUUGAUAAAUUAUGUUCGGUAACCCCUCAAGCUCGACUCCGGUGAUGGUCUUGGUCGUGGGGGCGUUACAAGGUAGGUCAAAAUACAAACAAACCAGUGACUGUCGAAUAUAAACC
Molecule: long non-coding RNA, 231 nt
Filed under: Gossypium barbadense (sea-island cotton)
Lineage: Eukaryota; Viridiplantae; Streptophyta; Magnoliopsida; Malvales; Malvaceae
Description: long non-coding RNA (GBAR_LNC002414)
Source: RNAcentral